AUGGGCUCAAGAAAGGAUCAGCACGGCAUUUCAUCCAACCGCUCGUUUGACAGCACACACGGACUUCCCGGAUUGGCCAACCAGACCAAUGGCACUGCCCACGCGCACAUGAUCAACAACAGCCUCUACUCCUCUGACGUGACCAAUGGGAGUUACUCAUACAUGGACGAUGAAGAGGAUGAAGAGCUGUCUCAUCGGGAACAUGACCUCACACACGGACACUACAGGUAUGUGUUUGUGUGCGUGUGUGUGUGCGUUGUACAUAAGAAUAUAUUCACUGUGUUUGUGUGUGUGUGUGUGUUCUUUCCUCCAGGGAGCCGUCCCUCUCCCCCAGCCUGCGGGGUCUCUCCUACCCGACCCCCAUGCCACUCGACGUGGCCCAGACGCCCACCAGUCCCCAGCCCCAGCGGCAGUACCAGCACGUCAAGGCCUCCAAGAGCAUGGACCUGGGUACGAGUGCCCCCGAGAGCCAGCAGCAACCCGGUGGGACACGGUUCAGUACCUCCGCUGCAUGGCUCUCUGGAGCUCAGCGCACUGACCCUGCAUGGAGGACUGGCUGGCUCUCUGUAA
RNAcentral lists this long non-coding RNA (570 nucleotides) under Gadus morhua (Atlantic cod). Its description in RNAcentral is "lncRNA (ENSGMOG00000026048.1)". Lineage: Eukaryota; Metazoa; Chordata; Actinopteri; Gadiformes; Gadidae. The record is from RNAcentral.